This 365-nucleotide ribosomal RNA is filed under the name uncultured bacterium. Its description in RNAcentral is "bacterial SSU rRNA". It matches the Rfam family "Bacterial small subunit ribosomal RNA", at positions 28 to 383 of the family's 1533-position model. The record is from RNAcentral.
GAUGAACGCUAGCGGGAGGCUUAAUACAUGCAAGUCGAGCGGCAAGUUUUGAUAGCAAUAUUGGAACCUAGAGCGGCGCACGGGUGAGUAACGCGUACAUGACCUGCCCUAUACUGGGGGAUAGUCUUGGGAAACUGAGAAUAAUCCCGCAUGUGAUUAGAAUGCUGCAUGGCAAAUUAAUUAAAGCUGAGGCGGUAUAGGAUGGGUGUGCGUCUGAUUAGCUAGUUGGUAGUGUAACGGACUACCAAGGCGAUGAUCAGUAGGGGGCGUGAGAGCGUGACCCCCCACACGGUACGUGAGACACGGACCCGACUCCUACGGGAGGCAGCAGUAAGGAAGUAUUGGUUCGAAUAGGAGGGGAACGU